Long non-coding RNA from Trifolium pratense (red clover), 1219 nucleotides. RefSeq lists it as uncharacterized. Lineage: Eukaryota; Viridiplantae; Streptophyta; Magnoliopsida; Fabales; Fabaceae. The record is from RefSeq and is a predicted model, not a curated record. The transcript has 2 exons.
UUAGGUGUGAGUGUGUGAGUUGAGAUUGGCUAGGAUUAUUACAUGUGGAUGCUCAAUCUAAUGGAUGUUAUUGACUUAUGUACCAUGCAUAAGGAUUACACUUAUGUAUAAUAACUUCUCCCUGUAUCCAUCCUGAAGCCGUGCCAGAGUGCUUGUUUGAUUCAUUAUCAAGGCAAUUCUUUGACUUAAGUGGCGAUUUGGUUGGGAUUUGCACAUGUAUUCUAAUUUAAUGAAAACUCACACAUAUAAAAUGAGCAUCGGAGUUUGCCUUUGUUUAAUGGACCAAUUUCGGACAACAUUAGUAGCUUGUGAAUGUGUGAUGAAGCCGUAAAAGUUAAUUAAAAAUAAUAAAACUAUCUUAUUCCUACCUAUAUGCAUGGAGAAUACAUCAAUCGAAAUCAUUACAUAUUCAAUUUCACAAAAAAAUAAUAAGGAUGAAUCUACAAACAGGCUUACAGCAUCCGAGUUAAUAGCAUGAAACGGCCUAAUGUCUAUGACAAAGCCUACAAUUGAUAUGACAAACUUCAAAUGUCCGGAAUAAUCAUGUAUCCGGAUCCACAACAUUGAUGAUGUUAAAGUCAUUGAAUCUGCAUUGAAUUUGGAUCGAUACAAACCUGCAAGUCUAAACAAAAGAACAAACAUCAUACCAAGACGAGAAUACAUCAAUCAAAAUCAUUACAUAUUCAAUUUCACUAAAAACUAAUAAGGAUGAAUCUGCAAACAGACUCAAGACAUCCGAGUUAAUUGCAUAAAACGGCCUAAUGCAUAUGACAAAGCCUACAAUUGAUAUGACAAACUUCAAAUGUCCGAAAUAAUCGUGUAUCCAGAUCCACAACAUUGAUGAUGUUAAAGUCAUUGAAUCUGCAUUGAAUUUGGAUUGAAACAAACCUGCAAAUCUAAACAAAAGAACAAACACCAUACAAAGACGAGACAAACACCGUACUAAGAAGGGAAAUAAAAACAAAUACUCCGCACUAAGACAGGAUUAAAACAACACCAGAUAAAAAAAUCACAGGAGAGAAAAUUCGAAUAAAACCUAAAAGUAUGUGUGUAACAACACGGGUCCUUUUCUACGUCCCGACUGUCAGGUGUAACGACCCAAUAUUUUAUCUUAUUGAUUUAUUAUUUGAUAACUAAAUUCUAUCGUAAUAUUGAUUAUUCUAUGUUUUAUUUAUUUUAUUAUUUGAUGGGAUAAUAGUUACUCUAAUUGUUAUUGUUA